CUGCUGACGUCAUCCCCUGCACAAACACUAGGCGUCACUCCCUGCCCUCCCCUCUAGCCUCCAGCACACCUGCCGAGCAUGGCAAGCAUCCAACACACAUACCAACAUGGGAACAAAGGCUCGAUGAUUCCUGUAGCCAGCAUCUCCUCCACUUCCUGCUUUAAUCCUGGGACCAGUCUGGCUGGAAUGCGGCAGGUGGUGUCCCUGAUUGCCCGCUGCGCAGGACAUACGAGAGCUCACUGCACUGCUGUUGUGGCAUAGGAUGCCCUCCCAGGCAUCCUUCAAGACAUCCAUGGGACCCCUCACUGGAUGUCCAUAUAGCAGCUGGAAAGCAGGCCUGAGGUGAAGUUGGUGCCUUGGUCUGUGAUGAUCUCCUUGGGGAUUCCCACUCUGGAAAACAGCUGAAUGGGGCAGUUGACAAUCUGGCGAGCCUUGAUCUUCUUCAAGGGGAAGGCUUCAGGGUAUCUUGUGGCAAAAUCGCAAACCACCAGUAUGUACCCGUGGCCUACACUACUCCUUUCUAGUGGGCCUACAAUGUCCAUUGCAAUGCGGGAAAAGGGUGCAUCUAUGAUGGGCAUGCUAAUGAGGGGAGCUCCAUCUCCAUUCCUGCCUAGAGCUGUUAAUUGACACUAUGGACAAGACAACAAGGCAACAUUUCAUUGUGUCCACGUACUGCUGGGGCCAAUAGAAACGAGUAACCAUUCUCAAAAAUGUUUUAGCCUGUCCCAAGUGUCCUGCCCAUGGGAUACGAGUGGCUCAGGUUAAGGAUUGUGUGCCUUAAACUCUGUGGAAUGACUAACUGAUCACAAAUCUGGCUAUACAACUUGUCUCCCUUGACCACAAAUGCUUCCUUUCCUCUACCUAUCACCUGGGUUGACACAGGCACACAUUUAGCAAAGACCGUGGCAAGUGUGGAGUCCUCUCUCUGUAGCUUAGCAAUGUCACUAGGAAUCGGUUUAAUAAUAAAGUUUAAUUCUACCGGCUACGCCACCUGUUCAGCAACUUUUGUUCCCCUUACCCUGUCUCUUCUCCUCUCUUGCUUUUCCUUUCUCUACAGUGGCUAGUGUGCUCACCCCCAGGGACUUCCUCGUUUGCAAAUGGUAGCUCCUCCCACUCUGCUGAACUAACUUGUUCUUGCUUGGUUUUU
This is a long non-coding RNA of Gasterosteus aculeatus aculeatus (three-spined stickleback), 1147 nucleotides long. NCBI's taxonomy places the organism in Eukaryota, Metazoa, Chordata, Actinopteri, Perciformes, Gasterosteidae. The record is from Ensembl.